This 498-nucleotide ribosomal RNA is filed under the name uncultured bacterium. RNAcentral describes it as "bacterial SSU rRNA". It matches the Rfam family "Bacterial small subunit ribosomal RNA", at positions 30 to 537 of the family's 1533-position model. The record is from RNAcentral.
AUUGAACGCUGGCGGCAUGCCUUACACAUGCAAGUCGAACGGCAGCACGGGAGCAAUCCUGGUGGCGAGUGGCGAACGGGUGAGUAACGCGUAUGUAACCUACCCUUCUCCGGGACAUAACUCCGCGAAAGCGGUGCUAAUAUCCCAUACCAACUCAUCAAGACAUCUUCUUGAGUUGAAAGCAGCAAUGCGGUGAAGGAUGGGCAUGCGUCCCAUUAGCUGGUUGGUGAGGUAAUGGCCCACCAAGGCUACGAUGGGUAGGGGUUCUGAGAGGAAAGCCCCCCACACUGGUACUGAGACACGGUCCAGACUCCUACGGGGGGCAGCAGUGGGGAAUCUUCCACAAUGGGCGAAAGCCUGAUGGAGCGACGCCGCGUGAGCGAAGAAGGCCUCGGUUGUAAGACUCUGUCUGGAGGGACGAAGGAAGUAGACGGUACCGUCCGGAGGAAGCCACGGCUAACUACGUGCCACGCAGCCGCGGUAAACGAAUACUACGUA